GCGUUGGCUGAGUUUAUCUCAACUCUUAUUUUUGUCUUCGCCGGAGAAGGUUCCGGUAUGGCCUUUAACAAGCUCACCAACAACGGCGCAGCCACUCCUUCUGGUCUCGUGGCCGCCGCUAUAGCUCACGCAUUCGCUCUUUUUGUUGCUGUCUCCGUUGGUGCAAACAUCUCAGGUGGACAUGUCAAUCCUGCUGUCACCUUUGGUGCUUUCGUCGGCGGUAACAUCACUCUUCUACGUGGUAUUCUUUACUGGAUCGCUCAGCUUCUCGGCUCCACCGUCGCUUGCUUGCUUCUCAAGUUCAGUACCGGCGGUUUGGUAAGUAACUAAACCUAUCAUGUCAUCGCCAUAACUGGAACACGCUAAAUAUUUACGAGUUCUGUUAAUUAUUUGAAACUGAUCGUGAAUUUUGAUAUGGUGUUGCACAACGCAGACUACCUCAGCUUUCGCUCUAUCCUCUGGAGUUGGUGUAUGGAACGCAUUUGUUUUCGAAAUCGUGAUGACCUUUGGACUUGUGUAUACCGUAUAUGCAACUGCCGUUGAUCCAAAGAAGGGAAGUUUGGGAACAAUUGCACCGAUCGCUAUCGGUUUUAUCGUUGGUGCUAACAUUUUGGCGGGAGGAGCAUUCGACGGUGCAUCAAUGAACCCCGCAGUGUCGUUCGGACCAGCUUUGGUCAGCUGGAGCUGGGAAAAUCACUGGGUGUACUGGGCUGGGCCUUUAGUUGGCGGUGGGCUUGCUGGGCUUGUUUAUGAGUUCUUCUUCAUCCACAGCACCCAUGAGCAGCUCCCUACCACUGACUACUAAAAGAUAACGGUGGUUGCGAGUGGAUGGCAUGAAGGUGGUGGCGGUGGCCACGCGGCUUUUCUUUCUCUGGUGUAUUUAUUUGUAUCUCUUGAGGGUAUUUUAUUUAUCCUGUUAUUUAAUCUGUAAUCGUCGAUCUUUGGUU
This 947-nucleotide long non-coding RNA is filed under the name Ricinus communis (castor bean). RNAcentral's name for it is "long non-coding RNA (RCOM_LNC001090)". Lineage: Eukaryota; Viridiplantae; Streptophyta; Magnoliopsida; Malpighiales; Euphorbiaceae. The record is from RNAcentral.